GGUUUUCCUUCCCUCCUCUCCUUUCUUCAUGAGUUCCUUUGUGAGACACUUCUCAUAUCACUGUCUUUCAUUCAACUUUUAUGUCUUGUAAUCUACUUUUUCUAGUCAGUCUUCUACUUCCCUUCCCUCUGUCUUUCAUGUCACAUCCAGAAGGAUCAUCCCAGGCCAUCUUCGUGUCCCAGGCCUUCUGUGACCACUCCCUGCCUAGAAGACCUAUAUCUCCAGGGAUUCAAGAAGUCUCCCUCAAGCCCAUGAAUCCAUCAAGGAAGCUGUAUGUUCACAAGACUACAGAAAAGUGAGAAGUGUUAUAGACUUUUUGGAAUGAUCACUGACUGCAGUUUGGAGGACAGACUGGAGCAGUAGACAGGAGGGAGGACACCAGGACAAAGAAGUAUGUUUUAUGUGCAAAGGAGAAAGCAGAGAGAAUGAGGGCAGAGAAGGAAAAGGCAGUCUAGAGGCCAUCGCCUACCUCAGUUAAUGGCUGCUGAAUUCAGAAAAUGAUGAGAGAGGAGAGUCUAAAAUGGCCUCUCACUGUCUAGCUUAUAUUGUCCAUACUUGUAAUAAAAAAGAUCCUUCUAUAGACCUUCUAGUUCAGUUUUCAAACAUCCAGCAAUAAUCCAUUAGUGGGUUGUGAAAUAAACUUACUGAAUUGUGGC
Molecule: long non-coding RNA, 656 nt
Filed under: Fukomys damarensis (Damara mole-rat)
Lineage: Eukaryota; Metazoa; Chordata; Mammalia; Rodentia; Bathyergidae
Description: lncRNA (ENSFDAG00000026698.1)
Source: RNAcentral